GGAGUUAGCCGGUGCUUCUUCUGUGAGUGAUGUCCUUCCUGCCGGUUAUUGACCCGCAGGCCUUCUUCCUCACUGAAAGUGCUUUACAACCCGAAGGCCUUCUUCACACACGCGGCAUGGCUGGAUCAGGGUUGCCCCCAUUGUCCAAUAUUCCCCACUGCCUGCCUCCCGUAGGAGUCUGGGCCGUGUCUCAGUCCCAGUGUGGCUGAUCAUCCUCUCAGACCAGCUACGGAUCGUCGCCUUGGUGAGCCGUUACCUCACCAACCAGCUAAUCCGACAUAGGCUCAUCCGAUAGCGCGAGGCCCGAAGGUCCCCCGNUUUCCCCCGUAGGGCGUAUGCGGUAUUAGCCUGGGGUUUCCCCCAGGUUAUCCCCCACUACCGGGCAGAUUCCUAUGCAUUACUCACCCGUCCGCCGCUCGCCACCAGGGAGCAAGCUCCCCGUGCUGCCGCUCGACUUGCAUGUGUUAGGCCUGCCGCCAGCGUUCAAUCUGAGCCAGGAUCAAACUCUGA
RNAcentral lists this ribosomal RNA (510 nucleotides) under uncultured bacterium. RNAcentral's name for it is "partial 16S ribosomal RNA". The record is from RNAcentral.